This 1114-nucleotide ribosomal RNA is filed under the name Acyrthosiphon pisum (pea aphid). Its description in RNAcentral is "partial 16S large subunit ribosomal RNA". Lineage: Eukaryota; Metazoa; Arthropoda; Insecta; Hemiptera; Aphididae. The record is from RNAcentral.
UUUUUUAUAAAAGUAAUUUAUUUAUUUUAAGUUUUAGUAUUUAGUAAAAAUUAAUUUUUAGAUUUAUAGUUUAAUAGUAUUGUAAAAGAAUUAUUUAAAUUUGAAAAAGAAUAUUUUUAGUACCUUUUGUAUCAGGGUUAAUUAAAAUUUUUAAUUUUUUUUUAAAUUCUCAAAAUUUAUAGAGUUAAUUUUAUUAUUAAUUUAUUGUGUUAUAAAUAUUUAUAAAAUAAUAUUGGUUUUGAAAUUUAAUUCGUUAUAUUAUAUUUAGUUAUUUAAGAUUUAAAUUUAAUUUAAAAUUUUAAAAGUUAUUUUGAUUUUAUAUAUUAAUAUUUUAAAUUUAAAUUAUUUUAGGGAUAAGCUUGAAAUUUUUAUAUAAUAAUUUAUUUAUUUUAAUAAUUUAUAGGAAUAGAAAUUUUUAUUUUAAGUUUGUAAAAAUUUAUUAUUUGUUUAGUUUUAAUUUAUUAUAAUUUUAUUUAUUUUUUUUAUUAAAUUUUAUUAAUUAAUAUUUAAUUUUUAGUAAUAAUGAUUAAAUUAGUAUAAUGUAUAUUUAUAAAUUAUGAAUUCGGCAAAAAUUAUUUUCAUCUGUUUAACAAAAACAUUGUAUUAAGUUUAAUUUAAUAUAGGAUCUGCUCAAUGAUUUAUUAAAUAGCUGCAGUAUUUUGACUGUGCAAAGGUAGCAUAAUAAUUAGUCUUUUAAUUGAGGACUUGUAUGAAAGAUUUGAUGAGAAAUAAACUUUAUUAUUUAUAUAAUUAAAAUUUUAUUUUUAAGUAAAAAAGCUUAAAUUAUUUAAAGGGACGAUAAGACCCUAUAAAACUUUAUAAAUAGUAAUUUUAAUUUUUUUGGAUUAAUAAAUAUUCUAAUUUUAUUAUUUAUUUUAUUGGGGUGAUAAAAAAAAUUAUUAAACUUUUUUUAAAAUUUUACAUUAUUUAGUGAAUAGUUGAAUUAAAAUUUUUAAUUAAAGGAAAAAGUUACUUUAGGGAUAACAGCGUAAUUAAUUUUUUAAGUUCAAAUUUAAAAAUUAGUUUGCGACCUCGAUGUUGAAUUAAGAUUAAUCUUAGGUGCAAAAUUUUAAGUAUUAGGUCUGUUCGACCUUUAAAUUCUUACAUGAUUUGA